AGUGAACGCUGGCGGUAGGCCUAACACAUGCAAGUCGAACGGCAGCACAGUAAGAGCUUGCUCUUACGGGUGGCGAGUGGCGGAUGGGUGAGGAAUAACUCGGAAUCUACUUUUUCGUGGGGGAUGACGAAGGGAAACUUACGCUAAUACCGCAUACGGCCUACGGGUGGAAGCAGGGGAUCUUCGGACCUUGCGCGAUUGAAUGAGCCGAGGUCGGAUUAGCUAGUUGGCGGGGUAAAGGCCCACCAAGGCGACGAUCCGUAGCUGGUCUGAGAGGAUGAUCAGCCACACUGGAACUGAGACACGGUCCAGACGCCUACGGGAGGCAGCAGUGGGGAAUAUUGGGCAAUGGGCGCAAGCCUGAUCCAGCCAUACCGCGUGGGUGAAGAAGGCCUUCGGGUUGUAAAGCCGUUUUGUUGGGAAAGAAAAGCAGCAGGUUAAUACCCCGCUGUUCUGACGGUACCCAAAGAAUAAGCACCGGCUAACUUCGUG
Molecule: ribosomal RNA, 492 nt
Filed under: uncultured bacterium
Lineage: Bacteria
Description: partial 16S ribosomal RNA
Rfam family: Bacterial small subunit ribosomal RNA
Source: RNAcentral